AUUUAUAUAGUAUAAAUAAUUACAAUUGAUUUCCAAUCAAAAGAUCUAUUAAUAGUAUAAAUA
RNAcentral lists this transfer RNA (63 nucleotides) under Halyziini sp. HA. Its description in RNAcentral is "tRNA-Gly". The record is from RNAcentral. Lineage: Eukaryota; Metazoa; Arthropoda; Insecta; Coleoptera; Coccinellidae.